AUUGAACGCUGGCGGCAGGCCUAACACAUGCAAGUCGAGCGGAUGAAGGGAGCUUGCUCCUGGAUUCAGCGGCGGACGGGUGAGUAAUGCCUAGGAAUCUGCCUGGUAGUGGGGGAUAACGUCCGGAAACGGGCGCUAAUACCGCACACGUCCUGAGGGAGAAAGUGGGGGAUCUUCGGACCUCACGCUAUCAGAUGAGCCUAGGUCGGAUUAGCUAGUUGGUGGGGUAAAGGCCUACCAAGGCGACGAUCCGUAACUGGUCUGAGAGGAUGAUCAGUCACACUGGAACUGGGACACGGUCCAGACUCCUACGGGAGGCAGCAGUGGGGAAUAUUGGACAAUGGGCGAAAGCCUGAUCCAGCCAUGCCGCGUGUGUGAAGAAGGUCUUCGGAUUGUAAAGCACUUUAAGUUGGGAGGAAGGGCAGUAAGUUAAUACCUUGCUGUUUUGACGUUACCAACAGAAUAAGCACCGGCUAACUUCGUG
Molecule: ribosomal RNA, 484 nt
Filed under: uncultured bacterium
Lineage: Bacteria
Description: partial 16S ribosomal RNA
Rfam family: Bacterial small subunit ribosomal RNA
Source: RNAcentral